RNAcentral lists this small RNA (158 nucleotides) under Sphenodon punctatus (tuatara). Its description in RNAcentral is "TUC338 (ENSSPUG00000007052.1)". Lineage: Eukaryota; Metazoa; Chordata; Lepidosauria; Sphenodontia; Sphenodontidae. The record is from RNAcentral.
UUACAAGUUCUGGAGACUGAAGUCUGCUGUUUAUCAGCAAGAAGGUACAGUAUGGCCAGUGGCAAUACAGGGAUCCCCAGAACAUCCUUCAUUGUUGGCACAGGUGGGAAAAGAAAAAUGGUGGCAUUCAGGCUCACGGCCUCUCUUUCCUGGCUUCU